Non-coding RNA from Peromyscus maniculatus bairdii (prairie deer mouse), 1071 nucleotides. The record is from RefSeq and is a predicted model, not a curated record. NCBI's taxonomy places the organism in Eukaryota, Metazoa, Chordata, Mammalia, Rodentia, Cricetidae.
AGCGGGCGGGUUUGUUCCAUCCCGGCAGACAAGGCAGACGUCCCUUUCUCUUGGCUAAGCCGCUGUGCAUAGCUUGGCCCGGAAUGGCUAGAGGGAAAAUCUGGCCUGGAGACUCGGAUUCCGCUACUUUCGGAGCCAGGCCUUGUGUCCUUCUUGCCAGGGCCCUGGGAGACUUCUGACCAUCUGAGUUGCUGCUUCUGUGCUUACCCACACUUCCGUAAACAUCUUAGUAGUAACACACGGAUUUAUGACCCUGCGGGGUCUCCACAACCUCCUCCUCCGUUUCCCUAGAUACAGCAGUGCCAAAGAUCUGCCCUCUGAAUCUUCGAUUUCUUAGGCCAGAGAAAGAAACCAGACUGCUGACAGAUAAGAGUCAGCUGAGUGAAUUCAGGGGCUUCCACUUCAUCUUACUAGCCCACUAAAGUUUGUUGUUGAUCAUGGGUUGGUUUUGUUUGGUUGGUUUGGGUUUUAGGCUUCUUAUUGGGGCAGAGCAAGGGCGAGUGGGCAGGUUUGGGGUUUAGGGUCAGGAUGGAGUUCGGUGGUUGAAGUUGAGUGAUUGCCUAGCUCUUCCCAAACCAGGCUUGCUGGUGGCAAACCUAUGAUCCCGCACUCGGGAGGUGGAGGCAGGAGGACCAGAAGUUUAAGACAUCCUUGGCUACAAACCGCCUCAUGCUCCUGCGACCAUGCCUUCCCCGCCAUGAUGGACUGCAUCCUUGAACUGUGAGCCACGAGAAACCUUUUCUUCCUGAAGUCGCGUCUCUCGGGGUUUGUGUCACAGCCAUGAAGAAAGAACUGCUGUAGCUUUGUGAUGUCCGAAGCAGCAAACACCACUUAAAAGACAGACAAUGUUCACCGUUCCACCAAGUUCCCGUCUGCACCCUUGUGAGAAACCGGCUCUCUCUAAACUCCAUUUCCAGAAACACACUGACUUGGUUCACAUAUAAAUGAAAUUAUGCAAUAUGUACUUUUUCUUUCCCUCAAAACAACUAUUUUGAUAUUAAUUCAUGUUAUAGCAUAUAACAGUAAUUCGUUCUUUGUUCUGUGAUUAAAAGGAAUAUUCAAUUACCUGGA